UGCAAGUCGAACGUUAACAGGAAGCAGCUUGCUGCUUCGCUGACGAGUGGCGGACGGGUGAGUAAUGUCUGGGAAACUGCCUGAUGGAGGGGGAUAACUACUGGAAACGGUAGCUAAUACCGCAUAAUGUCGCAAGACCAAAGAGGGGGACCUUCGGGCCUCUUGCCAUCGGAUGUGCCCAGAUGGGAUUAGCUUGUUGGUGGGGUAACGGCUCACCAAGGCGACGAUCCCUAGCUGGUCUGAGAGGAUGACCAGCCACACUGGAACUGAGACACGGUCCAGACUCCUACGGGAGGCAGCAGUGGGGAAUAUUGCACAAUGGGCGCAAGCCUGAUGCAGCCAUGCCGCGUGUAUGAAGAAGGCCUUCGGGUUGUAAAGUACUUUCAGCGGGGAGGAAGGGAGUAAAGUUAAUACCUUUGCUCAUUGACGUUACCCGCAGAAGAAGCACCGGCUAACUCCGUGCCAGCAGCCGCGGUAAUACGGAGGGUGCAAGCGUUAAUCGGAAUUACUGGGCGUAAAGCGCACGCAGGCGGUUUGUUAAGUCAGAUGUGAAAUCCCCGGGCUCAACCUGGGAACUGCAUCUGAUACUGGCAAGCUUGAGUCUCGUAGAGGGGGGUAGAAUUCCAGGUGUAGCGGUGAAAUGCGUAGAGAUCUGGAGGAAUACCGGUGGCGAAGGC
This 677-nucleotide ribosomal RNA is filed under the name uncultured Pseudomonadota bacterium. RNAcentral's name for it is "bacterial SSU rRNA". It matches the Rfam family "Bacterial small subunit ribosomal RNA", at positions 56 to 722 of the family's 1533-position model. The record is from RNAcentral. Lineage: Bacteria; Pseudomonadati; Pseudomonadota.